UAUAUACUCCCUCCAUUCCAAAAUAAUUGUCGUAAUUGUCGUUUUUUGAAUGAAUAUGUUCAUGAAUAAGACCAUAUUCAUCCCAAAAACGACAGUUAUUUUGGAACGGAGGGAGUAUAUA
Molecule: non-coding RNA, 121 nt
Organism: Corchorus olitorius
Lineage: Eukaryota; Viridiplantae; Streptophyta; Magnoliopsida; Malvales; Malvaceae
Source: Rfam